Molecule: long non-coding RNA, 278 nt
Filed under: Ananas comosus (pineapple)
Lineage: Eukaryota; Viridiplantae; Streptophyta; Magnoliopsida; Poales; Bromeliaceae
Description: long non-coding RNA (ACOM_LNC024971)
Source: RNAcentral
AUGUUAAGCUUUCUAUUGGUGCGAGCCAAAGAGGACCACAGCUUGGUCACUUAUAAUAUGACUAUGAUUUAGUUUGGUAUUGAUCAUAGAAAAUAUAUCGUAACCAACUAACCGCAAUAUGUGGAACGCAAUAUUACGUACAGAAACAAACAAGAUGUUUUUUCAUUUUUCACCGCAUAUAACGCAAUCUCUCCGUGAUCCUAAACGAAACCUACGAUAUGUAAUAAUCGUUUUAAUACGUUAGGCCGUAGCAACAACAUUGGUGGUUAGGCUAGAAU